This 65-nucleotide transfer RNA is filed under the name Pseudocalotes microlepis (Burmese false bloodsucker). Its description in RNAcentral is "tRNA-His". The record is from RNAcentral. Lineage: Eukaryota; Metazoa; Chordata; Lepidosauria; Squamata; Agamidae.
GCCAGGAUAGUUCAACCAAACAUUAGGCCGUGACCCUAAAAACAGAACUACAGUUCUUCCUAGCC